AUUGAACGCUAGCGGGAGGCCUUACACAUGCAAGUCGAACGAGUGGCGGACGGGUGAGUAAUGUCUGGGAAACUGCCCGAUGGAGGGGGAUAACUACUGGAAACGGUAGCUAAUACCGCAUACCAUCGGAUGUGCCCAUAUGGGAUUAGCUAGUUGGUGGGGUAAAGGCUCACCAAGGCAACGAUCCCUAGCUGGUUUGAGAGGAUGACCAGCCACACUGGAACGGAGACACGGUCCAGACUCCUACGGGAGGCAGCAGUGGGGAAUAUUGGACAAUGGGGGAAAGCCUGAUGCAGCCAUGCCGCGUGUAUGAAGAAGGCCUUCGGGUUGUAAAGUACUUUCAGCAGGGAGGCGGUACCCGCAGAAGAAGCACCGGCUAACUACGUGCCAGCAGCCGCGGUAAUAC
This 406-nucleotide ribosomal RNA is filed under the name uncultured bacterium. RNAcentral describes it as "partial 16S ribosomal RNA". It matches the Rfam family "Bacterial small subunit ribosomal RNA", at positions 30 to 526 of the family's 1533-position model. The record is from RNAcentral.